CCGGGUUGACGCAGGCACCCGGUCCUAAACAGACGGUUUCGUCCCAAGCGCUGC
Molecule: non-coding RNA, 54 nt
Filed under: unclassified sequences
Description: chromate-resist RNA
Rfam family: chrB-b RNA
Source: RNAcentral